AGCACUUAUGUUUGUGUCUGUGGAAAGGGUGGGAAAAACGUAUAAGACGGGUCCAAAAGUAAAUUCUCUUGUACCCCAGAACUCAUUCUUCUGAGUGAGUUUUGAUACCUGUAAGAAGGAAUAUG
This is a small nucleolar RNA of Microtus ochrogaster (prairie vole), 125 nucleotides long. Ensembl annotates it as predicted gene, 22382. The record is from Ensembl. NCBI's taxonomy places the organism in Eukaryota, Metazoa, Chordata, Mammalia, Rodentia, Cricetidae.